AACUUUCAACAACGGAUCUCUUGGUUCUGGCAUCGAUGAAGAACGCAGCGAAAUGCGAUAAGUAAUGUGAAUUGCAGAAUUCAGUGAAUCAUCGAAUCUUUGAACACACAUUGCGCCCGCCAGUAUUCUGGCGGGCAUGCCUGUCCGAGCGUCAUUU
This 157-nucleotide ribosomal RNA is filed under the name Trichoderma harzianum. RNAcentral's name for it is "5.8S ribosomal RNA". It matches the Rfam family "5.8S ribosomal RNA". From Rfam's summary of the family: 5.8S ribosomal RNA (5.8S rRNA) is a component of the large subunit of the eukaryotic ribosome. Lineage: Eukaryota; Fungi; Ascomycota; Sordariomycetes; Hypocreales; Hypocreaceae. The record is from RNAcentral.